This 461-nucleotide ribosomal RNA is filed under the name uncultured bacterium. RNAcentral describes it as "bacterial SSU rRNA". It matches the Rfam family "Bacterial small subunit ribosomal RNA", at positions 33 to 507 of the family's 1533-position model. The record is from RNAcentral.
GACACGCUGGCGGCGUGCCUAACACAUGCAAGUCGAACGAAGAAUGUUUUCGGAAUAUUCUUAGUGGCGGACGGGUGAGUAACGCGUGAACAAUCUGCCCCGUACAAAGGGAUAGCCUCGGGAAACCGGGAUUUAAAACCAUAUAACACUUUAACUGCCGCAUGGUAGUGAAGUCAAAUCGAUUAAGAGGUAUGGGAUGAGUUCGCGUCUGAUUAGCUAGUUGGUGAGGUAAGGGCUCACCAAGGCGACGAUCAGUAGCCGGCCUGAGAGGGUGAACGGCCACACUGGAACUGAGACACGGUCCAGACUCCUACGGGAGGCAGCAGUGGGGAAUAUUGCACAAUGGAGGGAACUCUGAUGCAGCGACGCCGCGUGAGUGAAGAAGGUCUUCGGAUCGUAAAACUCUGUCCUUGGUGAAGAAAAGGACGGUAGCCAAGGAGGAAGCCCCGGCUAACUACGUG